AGUGAACGCUGGCGGUAUGCUUAACACAUGCAAGUCGAACGGCAGCACAGUAAUAGCUUGCUCUUACGGGUGGCGAGUGGCGGACGGGUGAGGAAUACAUCGGAAUCUACUUUUUCGUGGGGGAUAACGUAGGGAAACUUACGCUAAUACCGCAUACGACCUACGGGUGAAAGCAGGGGAUCUUCGGACCUUGCGCGAUUGAAUGAGCCGAUGUCGGAUUAGCUAGUUGGCGGGGUAAAGGCCCACCAAGGCGACGAUCCGUAGCUGGUCUGAGAGGAUGAUCAGCCACACUGGAACUGAGACACGGUCAAGACUCCUACGGGAGGCAGCAGUGGGGAAUAUUGGACAAUGGGCGCAAGCAUGAUCCAGCCAUACCGCGUGGGUGAAGAAGGCCUUCGGGUUGUAAAGCCCUUUUGUUGGGAAAGAAAAGCAGCAGGUUAAUACCCCGCUGUUCUGACGGUACCCAAAGAAUAAGCACCGGCUAACUUCGUG
This 492-nucleotide ribosomal RNA is filed under the name uncultured bacterium. RNAcentral describes it as "partial 16S ribosomal RNA". It matches the Rfam family "Bacterial small subunit ribosomal RNA", at positions 29 to 507 of the family's 1533-position model. The record is from RNAcentral.